CAGAUCGUCUUGGUUAAACUACUUUGCCCCAUGUGCUCCUGUCUAUCUUGUCUCUCACUGAGUGUCGUUCCCCAACGCCAGAGAGACGACUUCACCAUUUGUACGCUGUACCCAUCAACACAUGGACCGGGACCAACCACUUUACUUCCAUUCCGAAGAAAGAAGUCACCCGAAACAGUUUUUGCCUCAGAAAAUUUCAACGAUCUCUGCUGGGAUUGAACACAGAACCACUAGGCAUUCGCGCCAGUGCCCAGAGUGCACGCUGCUCUGAAAAUCUAGCGAAAUUGUCUUAGGGCACCAGCGGGUGCUCGUUCAGUUAGCCAUUUGCGCGACUUCCGGAGGGUUAAAGGGGGCGUCUGGUGUAAAGUGCUC
Long non-coding RNA from Topomyia yanbarensis, 372 nucleotides. RefSeq lists it as uncharacterized. NCBI's taxonomy places the organism in Eukaryota, Metazoa, Arthropoda, Insecta, Diptera, Culicidae. The transcript has 3 exons. The record is from RefSeq and is a predicted model, not a curated record.